RNAcentral lists this ribosomal RNA (424 nucleotides) under uncultured prokaryote. RNAcentral describes it as "bacterial SSU rRNA". It matches the Rfam family "Bacterial small subunit ribosomal RNA", at positions 355 to 774 of the family's 1533-position model. The record is from RNAcentral.
UUAAGAAUCUUGCGCAAUGGGAGCAAUCCUGACGCAGCGACGCCGCGUGAAUGAUGAAGGCCUUCGGGUUGUAAAGUUCAGUAAGCAGGGAAGAAUAAGCAACGGGUAAUAUUCGUUGUGAUGACGGUACCUGCCUAAAGCCCCGGCUAACUACGUGCCAGCAGCCGCGGUAAUACGUAUGGGGCGAGCGUUGUUCGGAAUUAUUGGGCGUAAAGGGCGCCUAGGCGGGGGACUAAGUUAGUUGUGAAAGCUAUGGGCUCAACCCAUAAAUUGCAAUUAAGACUGGUUCUCUUGAGUUCGGGAGAGGAGAGCGGAAUUCCAGGUGUAGCGGUGAAAUGCGUAGAUAUCUGGAAGAACACCAGUGGCGAAGGCGGCUCUCUGGCCUAGGACUGACGCUGAAGCGCGAAAGCGUGGGGAGCGAACA